RNAcentral lists this ribosomal RNA (425 nucleotides) under uncultured bacterium. RNAcentral's name for it is "partial 16S ribosomal RNA". It matches the Rfam family "Bacterial small subunit ribosomal RNA", at positions 354 to 796 of the family's 1533-position model. The record is from RNAcentral.
GUGGGGAAUCUUGCGCAAUGGGGGCAACCCUGACGCAGCGACGCCGCGUGGAGGACGAAGUCUUUCGGGAUGUAAACUCCUGUCAGUGGGGACGAUAAUGACGGUACCCACAGAGGAAGCACCGGCUAACUCCGUGCCAGCAGCCGCGGUAAGACGGAGGGUGCAAGCGUUGUUCGGAAUUACUGGGCGUAAAGCGUAUGUAGGCGGCAAGUUAAGUUCAAUGUUAAAGCCCACGGCUCAACCGAGGAGAUGCAUUGAAUACUGGCUAGCUAGAGGGUGUUAGAGGAAGACGGAAUUCCCAGUGUAGCGGUGAAAUGCGUAGAUAUUGGGAGGAACAUCGGUAGCGAAAGCGGUCUUCUGGGACAUACCUGACGCUGAGGUACGAAAGCGUGGGGAGCAAACGGGAUUAGAAACCCGUGUAGUCC